UGACUGGAUUUAAUAGUGACCACAGUUUCUUAGUUGCCUAGAAGUGUAUUUUUUAAAAAACCAAUUAAAUACACAUACAACAUCAUUAUUACCUAACUAGUGCUUAUCCUUUGUUUCUCUGUUUUCUUAGGAUGUGUAUUUUUAAUUUAGGAUUAUAACUCCUGAUAAUGUUUCUGUGAGCCUUUCAUGUGAUUUAUAGGAAGACUGGGUUAUUGCUAUCACCAUUAUACCUCUUUUGUAAAACUACUCAAGAAUAAGACCUGCUUGUUGGGCAGAAAUCUGUGGGCAGAAUGUUGAUGUUGCCCCCAUCCAUGAGGGCUUAAUAACCUUAUUGUUAAUCAGUCUUCCUCCAUAGGAGUCUCAUAGUUCCAAGGAUGAAUGCACAGUAUAUUACCGAUUU
RNAcentral lists this unclassified non-coding RNA (400 nucleotides) under uncultured bacterium. RNAcentral's name for it is "contains 16S-23S intergenic spacer region". The record is from RNAcentral.